GCGUGCUAUACAUGCAAGUCGAGCGGACCGACGGGAGCUUGCUCCCUUAGGUCAGCGGCGGACGGGUGAGUAACACGUGGGUAACCUGCCUGUAAGACUGGGAUAACUCCGGGAAACCGGGGCUAAUACCGGAUGCUUGAUUGAACCGCAUGGUUCAAUCAUAAAAGGUGGCUUUUAGCUACCACUUGCAGAUGGACCCGCGGCGCAUUAGCUAGUUGGUGAGGUAACGGCUCACCAAGGCGACGAUGCGUAGCCGACCUGAGAGGGUGAUCGGCCACACUGGGACUGAGACACGGCCCAGACUCCUACGGGAGGCAGCAGUAGGGAAUCUUCCGCAAUGGACGAAAGUCUGACGGAGCAACGCCGCGUGAGUGAUGAAGGUUUUCGGAUCGUAAAACUCUGUUGUUAGGGAAGAACAAGUACCGUUCGAAUAGGGCGGCACCUUGACGGUACCUAACCAGAAAGCCACGGCUAACUACGUGCCAGCAGCCGCGGUAAUACGUAGGUGGCAAGCGUUGUCCGGAAUUAUUGGGCGUAAAGCGCGCGCAGGCGGUUUCUUAAGUCUGAUGUGAAAGCCCCCGGCUCAACCGGGGAGGGUCAUUGGAAACUGGGGAACUUGAGUGCAGAAGAGGAGAGUGGAAUUCCACGUGUAGCGGUGAAAUGCGUAGAGAUGUGGAGGAACACCAGUGGCGAAGGCGACUCUCUGGUCUGUAACUGACGCUGAGGCGCGAAAGCGUGGGGAGCGAACAGGAUUAGAUACCCUGGUAGUCCACGCCGUAAACGAUGAGUGCUAAGUGUUAGAGGGUUUCCGCCCUUUAGUGCUGCAGCAAACGCAUUAAGCACUCCGCCUGGGGAGUACGGUCGCAAGACUGAAACUCAAAGGAAUUGACGGGGGCCC
This 898-nucleotide ribosomal RNA is filed under the name Bacillus licheniformis. RNAcentral's name for it is "bacterial SSU rRNA". It matches the Rfam family "Bacterial small subunit ribosomal RNA", at positions 42 to 922 of the family's 1533-position model. The record is from RNAcentral. Lineage: Bacteria; Bacillati; Bacillota; Bacilli; Caryophanales; Bacillaceae.